UGGGGAAUAUUGGACAAUGGGCGCAAGCCUGAUCCAGCCAUGCCGCGUGAGUGAAGAAGGCCUUCGGGUUGUAAAGCUCUUUCAGAGGUGACGAUGAUGACGGUAACCUCAGAAGAAGCCCCGGCUAACUUCGUGCCAGCAGCCGCGGUAAUACGAAGGGGGCUAGCGUUGUUCGGAAUUACUGGGCGUAAAGCGCGCGUAGGCGGUGUGCAUAGUCAGGGGUGAAAUCCCGGGGCUCAACCUCGGAAUUGCCUUUGAUACUGGCACGCUUGAAUCCGUGAGAGGGUGGUGGAAUGACCAGUGUAGAGGUGAAAUUCGUAGAUAUUGGUCGGAACACCAGUGGSGAAGGCGGCCACCUGGCGCGGUAUUGACGSUGAGGCGCGAAAGCGUGGGGAGCAAACAGGAUUAGAUACCCUGGUAGUCCACGCCGUAAACGAUGAGUGCUAGCUGUUGGCCUGCUUGCAGGUCAGUGGCGCAGCUAACGCAUAASCACUCCG
RNAcentral lists this ribosomal RNA (497 nucleotides) under uncultured bacterium. RNAcentral's name for it is "bacterial SSU rRNA". It matches the Rfam family "Bacterial small subunit ribosomal RNA", at positions 355 to 871 of the family's 1533-position model. The record is from RNAcentral.